GGUAGGACUACCCGCUGAACUUAAGCAUAUCAAUAAGCGGGAGG
Molecule: ribosomal RNA, 44 nt
Filed under: Trametes sanguinea
Lineage: Eukaryota; Fungi; Basidiomycota; Agaricomycetes; Polyporales; Polyporaceae
Description: partial 28S ribosomal RNA
Source: RNAcentral